GUCCAGUUGAAAGUGCAGGUGGAAGAGAGAGGACAUUUGCUGCUCAAGUGAGGACAAAGAGGUGCUCUACUCUGCCAAGACAGAGUUCAGAUGCUGUGGUCACCUUUACUAUAACACCACCCUGUGGUCAUGCUGUGCUGGGGGGCUGAGAAGAAUCCGUGAACCAGGACAGGAUCAGAGAAAGAUGAUUAAUGGAUCCAGACUUCUAUCUGUGAAUAAUCUGAACAAAAUCGAUCUUUGCAAAGAAAUGCACAUUGGGACUGUGGAAAGUGUGUCGCUGCAGAGCAUUGUGUUCAGGAGUGUGCUGAAGGUCCAUGGGAUGGAGGCCAAAGUGAAAGCUCUGCCUUUCCCUUACAUCCUGGAAAGAGAUGAUCGCUGCAGCUCCCCUAAACUGAUUGCUGGGAAGACCUACUACUUUAACAAAGUUAAUGUUUUCAUUGAUUUCAGUCAUGACUCUGUUCUUCAGUCACUCCAUUUCAUUAUUUCCAAAUGUUCAUCUCAGGUCACCACUGGCUGAAGUAUACAUGGUCAGUGUGGAUCUGUUGCUCCCUUCUUUGAACAAGUUCUCUUUUUUCACAUAUUUACUCACAGUGUUGGCUUUGUCACACAGAAAAUUAAUUAAUUACACAUCACAUUAUACUGGUUAACAUUAUUUUACAAAGUAAUUUGUUACCAUAUUUAUUACAGAGUACUUGUUGCAUUGCAACCUAAUAUACUCACCCCAAAUUACUCUCUGAUGCACCCAUCACAGUGUGAAUGUUUGCUUGAACUUAAACACAGAAAGAAGUCGUUGUAUGAAUGUGUGAAUGAGGGACGUUGUAUCAAGCGCUUUGAGUGCUCAGGUAGGGUAGAAAAGUGUUAUAUAGAAGAACCUGUCCAUUUAUCAGUAGUAUACAAUACUUCACAUGAUAUGUUGUUUAUACAUUACUCUGCCUAUGUCCAGCCAAACCAUGUUGCUCUGUUGUUUAACACAUCCCAAGAUGUCUUAUCACAGACAGAAUUUAGGUACUUUAAGUAAAGAAAACAAAAAACAAUGUAGCUUUUAACUUCAGUUUUACAGGGACUCACAUUGUAGUGAUUCACACAACUUGACAUUAAUCAAUACUGUAACACAGUAAGCUGGUGCACAAUGUUGUUUCUCAAAUCUAAAUUUGAACAAAAUCUAAAUGUAACUUUGAUUCUUGCACUGAACUAAAAUAUAAGGGACAACUGUGUGCACAUGUCCUUGAAC
Molecule: long non-coding RNA, 1231 nt
Organism: Oreochromis aureus
Lineage: Eukaryota; Metazoa; Chordata; Actinopteri; Cichliformes; Cichlidae
Source: Ensembl